This 609-nucleotide long non-coding RNA is filed under the name Laticauda laticaudata (blue-ringed sea krait). Its description in RNAcentral is "lncRNA (ENSLLTG00000009516.1)". Lineage: Eukaryota; Metazoa; Chordata; Lepidosauria; Squamata; Elapidae. The record is from RNAcentral.
GAUCAUAGAGUGGGUUUGGCAUAGCGGCUUCUGUUCUCCGGUUGUGCUGUGCAGAUAAAGGAAGGAACCGAGUGGAAGGAACCGAGGGAGGCUAGAAGGGGCUAAGUCCAAAUUGAUCCAGUGCCUACUCAGAAGUUGUAUAACUUCAACCAGCUGUGGAAUCUUAAUAUCAUUUUCCUGUACUCAUUCAAUUGAGAGAGAAGUAGUAGUAUCGGAAGCUCAGAGACCAAAGAAGAGAAGAGUUGAAAAUGCCUACUGCAUUCUUGAAGUGUCCCAUGCAUGAGACUGCAGUUCCAAUCUUUUCAUGCUUAUGAAUCAAGGUAGGAAUUGCUUUCUUUUCUGUCUCUUGAAUAGCUGGAAGCAGAGCUCUUUUAAGCUUCCUGCCCAUUCUUAUGUUCAGCUUUUGUGACCAGUCUGUCCUUAAUAAAUGACUUAAUAGAAUGAACAACACUAAGAACUGCAACAGAAGUAACUAUGAAAUCAUUUUUAUUGAAUGUUUUCUAUAGACAUAUAUAGUCUUAUAUCUUAUAUUGUUUCCUAGUAUAAUUUGAUUGCUUAUUGUACCCUACAACUAUUAUAAGUAUUGCACCUUAUGAUUCUUGACUCUUU